AACGAACGCUGGCGGCAGGCUUAACACAUGCAAGUCGAGCGCCCCGCAAGGGGAGCAGCAGACGGGUGAGUAACGCGUGGGAAUCUACCCAGCUCUACGGAAUAACUCAGGGAAACUUGUGCUAAUACCGUAUACGUCCGAUAGGAGAAAGAUUUAUCGGAGUUGGAUGAGCCCGCGUUGGAUUAGCUAGUUGGUGGGGUAAUGGCCUACCAAGGCGACGAUCCAUAGCUGGUCUGAGAGGAUGAUCAGCCACACUGGGACUGAGACACGGCCCAGACUCCUACGGGAGGCAGCAGUGGGGAAUAUUGGACAAUGGGCGCAAGCCUGAUCCAGCCAUGCCGCGUGAGUGAUGAAGGCCCUAGGGUUGUAAAGCUCUUUCACCGGUGAAGAUAAUGACGGUAACCGGAGAAGAAGCCCCGGCUAACUUCGUGCCAGCAGCCGCGGUAA
RNAcentral lists this ribosomal RNA (447 nucleotides) under uncultured bacterium. RNAcentral's name for it is "bacterial SSU rRNA". It matches the Rfam family "Bacterial small subunit ribosomal RNA", at positions 29 to 523 of the family's 1533-position model. The record is from RNAcentral.